GCGAUUGGGACAUCCCACCAGGUGCCCCAGGCUUCAGCCAGGGCACUGCUGCUAGGCCAUGCAGUGAUGCUUGGCCUCGUGCCUGAGAGCUUUCCCUUCUUCACCAGCCCAAGUCCCUUCCCCACCUCUGAAAUCCACAUCCCCAGGGCCAAAACCAACCCACACAGGUGUGACAUGCCUUGAAGGUGGGCCUUUCAUUAGAGGCUGCCCGCCCACCAGGAGGAGGCAGAGAUGAAUAGCUCGAGCAUGGGGGAUCAUUUAGAGAAGAGCAAUGAAGCUGGUGAAGGGAUGAGGAAACAAGAUAUGUGAGGAGCAACUGAAGAAUUUGGGGUGUUUCGUUUGGAGAAGAGGCUGAGAGGAGACCUCAUUGCUCUUCACAAUGACCUGACAGGAUGUCGCAGCAAGGGCUUCACUGGAAUAUGAAGGCUGUGGCAGAACUGCUGUAAUUGGUGCACUCUUGAAAAUAUGAUGAUAUAAAUAACCAAAAUGAGCCUGAAGUGGAGGGGACGUCAGAGAUUUUUUGGUCUGCUCCUUGAGGUAUAACAUGAAACUCGGAGAUUUAACAAAAUCUUCUCUCCCACCCAUCACUGAUGGAGCCUCAGAAGUAACUGUUAAUAGCUGGAACAGUGCCUCAGCCAGCCCCUUUGGUGGCUCCAGAACGGCUUUCCUUGGUCUAGCCUGCCUUCUCUUACCUCUGC
This is a long non-coding RNA of Anas platyrhynchos (mallard), 698 nucleotides long. RefSeq lists it as uncharacterized. The record is from RefSeq and is a predicted model, not a curated record. NCBI's taxonomy places the organism in Eukaryota, Metazoa, Chordata, Aves, Anseriformes, Anatidae.